Molecule: ribosomal RNA, 808 nt
Filed under: uncultured bacterium
Lineage: Bacteria
Description: bacterial SSU rRNA
Rfam family: Bacterial small subunit ribosomal RNA
Source: RNAcentral
CUCUUCGGGGAUGAUUAAACCGGCGCACGGGUGAGUAACACGUGAGUGACCUGCCUUUUAGACUGGAACAACUUACCGAAAGGUGAGCUAAUGCCGGAUGAGUUAUAUAAGUGCAUGUUUAUAUAGGAAAAGUUGGGGAGACCUGACGCUGAAAGAUGGACUCGCGUCCCAUUAGCUAGUUGGUAGGGUAAUGGCCUACCAAGGCGACGAUGGGUAGCCGGCCUGAGAGGGUGGCCGGCCACACUGGGACUGAGACACGGCCCAGACUCCUACGGGAGGCAGCAGUGGGGAAUUUUGCGCAAUGCUCGUAAGAGUGACGCAGCGACGCCGCGUGAAUGACGAAGGCCUUCGGGUCGUAAAGUUCUUUCGACAGGGAAGAAAAUGCCUAUAAGUAACUGUGUAUGUAUUGACGGUACCUGUAUAAGCAGCCCCGGCUAACUCCGUGCCAGCAGCCGCGGUAAUACGGAGGGGGCGAGCGUUGUUCGGAGUGACUGGGCGUAAAGAGCACGUAGGCGGUGUUGUAAGUCGUUAGUCAAAGACUAGAGCUCAACUUUAGUAAGGCUAGUGAUACUAUAAUACUAGAGUAUCAGAGAGGAUUGCAGAAUUCCUGGUGUAGCGGUGAAAUGCGUAGAUAUCAGGAGGAAUACCGUUAGCGAAGGCGGCAAUCUGGCUGGAAACUGACGCUGAGGUGCGAAAGCGUGGGUAGCAAACAGGAUUAGAUACCCUGGUAGUCCACGCUGUAAACGAUGGAUGCUAGGUGUUGGGCUUUUAAGUUCAGUGCCGCAGCAAACGCGAUAAGCAUCCCGCC